GUUGGCUCAGAAGCAGCCACUCAUUCAAAGAGUGCGUAAUAGCUCACUGGUCGAGUGAUUUUGCGCCGAAAAUUUAACGGGGCUAAACUGUACACCGAAGCUUGGGAAUAUACCUUAUGGUAUGUUGGUAGGAGAGCGUCGUAUGCGGGGUGAAGUCGUAGCGAAAGCGGCGGUGGACUGCAUAGGAGUGAGAAUGCCGGAAUGAGUAGCGAGAAUUAUGUGAGAAUCAUAAUGGCCGAAAGACUAAGGUUUUAGAAGGAAGGUUCGUCCGCUUCUAGUUAGCCGGGAGCUAAGGCGAGGCCGAAAGGCGUAGUCGAUGCACAUACGGUUGAGAUUCCGUAGCCACCUUAAAUUUAAACUAAGGGACACAUUGAAAGGGAAUAACCCAGGCGUUGGUUGACCUGGGCGUAAGGGAACGAAAAUAAGUAGUGAAGUAUUCUUGGACAGUGGCGAGAAAAGCUUAGUGUAUAUUAUUAGGGUGCCCGUACUGCAAACCGACACAGGUAGUCAGGAAGAGAAUUCUAAGGCCAUCGGGAGAAGCGUUGUUAAGGAACUCGGCAAAUUGACCCCGUAACUUCGGAAUAAGGGGUGCUCACGAGAGUGAGCCGCAGUGAAUAGGUCCAGGCAACUGUUUAUCAAAAACACAGCUCUCUGCUAAAUCGUAAGAUGACGUAUAGGGGGUGACACCUGCCCGGUGCUGGAAGGUUAAGAGGAGGAGUGCAAGCCCCGAAUCGAAGCCCCAGUAAACGGCGGCCGUAACUAUAACGGUCCUAAGGUAGCGAAAUUCCUUGUCGGGUAAGUUCCGACCCGCACGAAUGGUGUAAUGAUCUGGACACUGUCUCAACAACGCACCCGGCGAAAUUGUAGUACCGGUGAAGAUGCCGGUUACCCGCGGCAAGACGGAAAGACCCCAUGGAGCUUUACUGUAACUUAAUAUUGGGUCUCGGUACUUUAUGUACAGGAUAGGCGGGAGACUUGGAAACUAGCACGCCAGUGUUAGCGGAGUCAUCCUUGGGAUACCGCUCUUAAGGUAUUGAGAUUCUAACCUGCAGCCUUGAAUCAGGUUGGGGGACAUUGUUAGGUGGGCAGUUUGACUGGGGCGGUCGCCUCCAAAAGAGUAACGGAGGCGUUCAAAGGUUGGCUCAGCAUGGACGGAAACCAUGCUUUAGAGUAUAAACGCAUAAGCCAGCCUAACUGCGAGACUGACGGGUCGAGCAGUAACGAAAGUUGGAGUUAGUGAUCCGGCGGUAUGUGAGUGGAAAUGCCGUCGCUCAACGGAUAAAAGCUACCCUGGGGAUAACAGGCUGAUCU
This 1311-nucleotide ribosomal RNA is filed under the name human gut metagenome. RNAcentral's name for it is "bacterial LSU rRNA". It matches the Rfam family "Bacterial large subunit ribosomal RNA", at positions 1100 to 2488 of the family's 2925-position model. The record is from RNAcentral.